RNAcentral lists this long non-coding RNA (372 nucleotides) under Olea europaea (common olive). RNAcentral describes it as "long non-coding RNA (OEUR_LNC005229)". Lineage: Eukaryota; Viridiplantae; Streptophyta; Magnoliopsida; Lamiales; Oleaceae. The record is from RNAcentral.
GUCGCCAUAAACACACCAACAAUAUCCAACCCACACCCUCACCAACUCUACCCACAUCAUCACUGCCAACAAGAGCACCUUCAUCGCUGCCAAAAACCACCACGACCGCCACUACCAAAUGUACCAAAUCAUCCACGAAAAAAAUACACCAACAAUACCCGUCGCCAGAAACCACCAAAUACACCACCACACAAUCUUGUGCAUCACCCAUAAAAAAAUUUCCCCAACUAGUUGUUGUCGUUAUCGCAGAUUAAAUCCACUACAGAUUACAGUCUACAAUUGACGUUGCUGCAAGUCGUGCAAUCGUGCAGUGUCAUUGUGAGUCGUGGCAGCGACGCCCCCACUGUUUUAAAGCCAGAUCUAAGAAAUAAG